This 448-nucleotide long non-coding RNA is filed under the name Ixodes scapularis (black-legged tick). Its description in RNAcentral is "uncharacterized LOC121835018". The record is from RNAcentral. Lineage: Eukaryota; Metazoa; Arthropoda; Arachnida; Ixodida; Ixodidae.
GCGCUCAAGUUUCGCCGCCGACUACAGCGCCAUUCCAGCCCCUGGCGGGACGCCCGAGUCCGAGUGGCUCGUUGUUUUUCGCCUCGCUUCUCCGUCGUAGGCGGUCGGAUAUAACAUUCAUUGCGAUAGAGACGAUAUAAAAGCCCGGCUAGCACGAACAUCUCGUUGUUGAUCGCAGCAACAAUCUCCGAUGUUGUUGUAGUCGAUCCUUAAAAUUCUACCGCUUCCCUGAAAAGCCGUGCGAGACUCGAACGGCGCCAAGCCUGGACCACGUCGGUGCUCCGACAAAAUGGGGGCGGUUCAGUUUUGAUUCCGCCAACGUCAGCGAGGAUCUGCAACGUGCACUUCGUGAACACCUGCAAGGACAACGCUGAGGCUCAUCCUGCAACAAGUCACUAGACGAGAUGCCAGCUGAGGUGUUUAAUAAAGACUAAUUGCAGGAAACCUA